UCGGGAAUUUUGCGCAAUGGACGAAAGUCUGACGCAGCAACGCCGCGUGAGGGAUGACGGCCUUCGGGUUGUAAACCUCUUUUGUCAGGGACGAUGAUGACGGUACCUGACGAAUAAGCCACGGCUAACUACGUGCCAGCAGCCGCGGUAAUACGUAGGUGGCAAGCGUUGUCCGGAUUUACUGGGCGUAAAGAGCGCGCAGGCGGUCGUUCAAGUCGCGUGUGAAAGCCCCCGGCUCAACUGGGGAGGGUCACGCGAUACUGAUCGACUCGAAGGCAGGAGAGGGUAGUGGAAUUCCCGGUGUAGUGGUGAAAUGCGUAGAUAUCGGGAGGAACACCAGUGGCGAAGGCGACUACCUGGCCUGUUUCUUGACGCUGAGGCGCGAAAGCUAGGGGAGCGAAACGGGAUUAGAUACCCCGGUAGUCCUAGCCGUAAACGAUGGACACUAGGUGUUGGUGGUAUCAACCCGCCAGUGCCGAAGCUAACGCAUUAAG
RNAcentral lists this ribosomal RNA (494 nucleotides) under uncultured Acidobacteriota bacterium. RNAcentral describes it as "bacterial SSU rRNA". It matches the Rfam family "Bacterial small subunit ribosomal RNA", at positions 355 to 864 of the family's 1533-position model. The record is from RNAcentral. Lineage: Bacteria; Pseudomonadati; Acidobacteriota.